CCUACGGGUGGGCAGCAGUGAGGAAUAUUGGUCAAUGGACGAGAGUGUGAACCAGCCAAGUAGCGUGAAGGAUGACUGCCCUAUGGGUUGUAAACUUCUUUUAUAAAGGAAUAAAACGAGGCACGUGUGCCUUUUUGCAUGUACUUUAUGAAUAAGGAUCGGCUAACUCCGUGCCAGCAGCCGCGGUAAUACGGAGGAUCCGAGCGUUAUCCGGAUUUAUUGGGUUUAAAGGGAGCGCAGGCGGAAUGUCAAGUCAGCGGUAAAAUUUCGGGGCUCAACCCCGUCGUGCCGUUGAAACUGGCGUUCUUGAGUGAGCGAGAAGUAUGCGGAAUGCGUGGUGUAGCGGUGAAAUGCAUAGAUAUCACGCAGAACUCCGAUUGCGAAGGCAGCAUACCGGCGCUCAACUGACGCUCAUGCACGAAAGCGUGGGUAUCGAACAGGAUUAGAUACCCGGGUAGUC
Molecule: ribosomal RNA, 460 nt
Filed under: uncultured bacterium
Lineage: Bacteria
Description: partial 16S ribosomal RNA
Rfam family: Bacterial small subunit ribosomal RNA
Source: RNAcentral